This 601-nucleotide ribosomal RNA is filed under the name Alternaria alternata. Its description in RNAcentral is "partial large subunit ribosomal RNA". It matches the Rfam family "Eukaryotic large subunit ribosomal RNA", at positions 77 to 693 of the family's 3401-position model. Lineage: Eukaryota; Fungi; Ascomycota; Dothideomycetes; Pleosporales; Pleosporaceae. The record is from RNAcentral.
GCCCUAGUAACGGCGAGUGAAGCGGCAACAGCUCAAAUUUGAAAUCUGGCUCUUUUAGAGUCCGAGUUGUAAUUUGCAGAGGGCGCUUUGGCUUUGGCAGCGGUCCAAGUUCCUUGGAACAGGACGUCACAGAGGGUGAGAAUCCCGUACGUGGUCGCUGGCUAUUGCCGUGUAAAGCCCCUUCGACGAGUCGAGUUGUUUGGGAAUGCAGCUCUAAAUGGGAGGUACAUUUCUUCUAAAGCUAAAUAUUGGCCAGAGACCGAUAGCGCACAAGUAGAGUGAUCGAAAGAUGAAAAGCACUUUGGAAAGAGAGUCAAACAGCACGUGAAAUUGUUGAAAGGGAAGCGCUUGCAGCCAGACUUGCUUACAGUUGCUCAUCCGGGUUUCUACCCGGUGCACUCUUCUGUAGGCAGGCCAGCAUCAGUUUGGGCGGUAGGAUAAAGGUCUCUGUCACGUACCUCCUUUCGGGGAGGCCUUAUAGGGGAGACGACAUACUACCAGCCUGGACUGAGGUCCGCGCAUCUGCUAGGAUGCUGGCGUAAUGGCUGUAAGCGGCCCGUCUUGAAACACGGACCAAGGAGUCUAACAUCUAUGCGAGUGU